GGGAGGGUAGCUCAGUGGUAGAGUUUGUGCUUAGCAUGCAUGAGGUCCUGGGUUCAAUCUCCAGUUCCUCCA
Molecule: transfer RNA, 72 nt
Filed under: Camelus bactrianus (Bactrian camel)
Lineage: Eukaryota; Metazoa; Chordata; Mammalia; Artiodactyla; Camelidae
Also listed under: 2 other names
Rfam family: tRNA
About the family: Transfer RNA (tRNA) molecules are approximately 80 nucleotides in length. Their secondary structure includes four short double-helical elements and three loops (D, anti-codon, and T loops).
Source: Rfam by way of RNAcentral